RNAcentral lists this microRNA precursor (91 nucleotides) under Picea abies (Norway spruce). RNAcentral's name for it is "miR11429b stem-loop (pab-MIR11429b)". Lineage: Eukaryota; Viridiplantae; Streptophyta; Pinopsida; Pinales; Pinaceae. The record is from miRBase by way of RNAcentral.
CAUAAUAGAAACAAGGAGCAGCAUGACACCAAGGGCAACUGUUAAGAUGGUGCUGCCCUUGGUGUCAUGCAGCUCCUUGUUUCUACUCAUG